GGGGGUCUAGCUCAUAUGGUAGAGCGCUCGCUUCGCACAAUGCGAGAGGCACUGGGAUCGAUACCCAGGUCCUCC
Rhizophagus clarus is the source of this 75-nucleotide non-coding RNA. The record is from the annotation of a GenBank genome assembly. Lineage: Eukaryota; Fungi; Glomeromycota; Glomeromycetes; Glomerales; Glomeraceae.